This 3018-nucleotide unclassified non-coding RNA is filed under the name Hevea brasiliensis (rubber tree). The record is from RNAcentral. Lineage: Eukaryota; Viridiplantae; Streptophyta; Magnoliopsida; Malpighiales; Euphorbiaceae.
AUAAUAAUAAUAAUAAUAAUAGUUACAUAAAAUAAGAAUGUAUAUGCAUCUUUUUCUUUCAUUUGUUAGCUGUCCAUAUUGUCUUAGUCAAAAACAAGUUUUUCCCCCCAUUCAUUGAGAAGGAUUUUAGAAUCUAUCAUAAAGAAAGAGCUUUAAAGUUUGUCCCUUAAAUGGGUUGACUGGAAGUGAAGGAUUCAUGUAUUCAUUGCCAGUUAGUUUGGCAUUGAGACUUAAUUGAGUCCAAUUUAGCACCAUAAAAAGAUAACAUCAUUGAGGACAAGAAUAUCCUUUUCCUGGUUUUUGGAUACACAAGUUGUUAAAUGCGGCAAAGUUGGCUUGGAUUUGGGAUUUAUUAGGCACUUGGUGAUUGUUGUAUGGUCACUUACAAAUAGACCUGGCCAUGGGCUGUGUCAGAAUCGGAACCGGUCAAACCCGUGGUUGACUCUAACUUGAUUGAACCAUGCUGGAAUCGGCUGGUUUGGUUUUUGGCCAAAAUUGGAUUUUUUCACUUAAAUUUUUUUUUUGGGCAAAAAACCGGGCUAUUGGAUUUGAUCAAAACUGGAUUGAAUGGGAACGGGAAUGGGAACUUUUGGGGGUUUUUACUGGCCGAUUCUGGUUCAUAAACCUAGUGACCUGGAACUAGCUGUUCGGAAACAGCCCGGUGGCCAGGUCUACUUACAUACAUGCCUGCGACCCUAGCUGAGGUGUAGGAUGGUGCAAAAGGCAGAUAUGGCCUAUGCAUUGUGUCCUUUUCCUAAUAGAAAUGCAGUAUCUUACAGUUCUUUUCGGAAGAAUCAAUCUAUUUCAUUUUUUCUUUGCCCAUCUUGGGACUUAUUGCAGUUUUAUUAGUGCUUAUAGCCAUGAACUCAGUGCAAAUUCUGCAUGUGCUUUUACACUUGAGUCACAUGUUGACAUGAACAAUUUUCCUUAAAGAUACUACAUUGGAGAAGGUGUCAUUCAUAAAAUGUUACAAUGCUUGCUCUGUGAAGUGGCAUGCCUAAUGUUCCACAUAAUGGUAACCUGCCGAAAUCUCUUAUUUAGUUUUCUUUGAAAUUUUAUUAUUUCAUGGUUGGUGUUCUUUAUACUUAAAGCAUCUUUCUGCAAUUAUUGAACAAGAGUUUUUUUUUUUUUUCCCUCCCAAUAUAUUUGGGACAAAGAUAACUUCAUAUUUUUCUUAUACUUUAUACAGAACUAGCAUCCUGAUUGGAUUAUGUAUUAAUUAUGAGUCGAUUUUAAUUCAAAUUAGUUGAAUACAGAUGGUGAUGCCUCUUAUUUAGAUUCUUUUGUUGGAGACAGUUUGGAAAUAUUAUCAUGUACGUCAUACUCCUUUCUAAGGUCUAUCUUGACGCAUACAUGUACAGGUGUUAUUCUGCACUUAUUUCUCAAAUAUUUGGGUUUUUAAACUAUGUUGCUUUUUGUUGAUGCUUGGUAUGGCCUAUAUUGGUGUAUAAUGCAAUUGUUUGUUUUAUAUUUUAUUAAAAUGUGUGAUCAUAUAUGGUUGAACCUUGUUUCAGGUAUUUUCUGCUUUUGGCUUUGUGCACAAAAUUGCUACUUUUGAAAAGGCUGCUGGUUUCCAGGCACUUAUUCAAUUCACUGAUGCGGAGACUGCAUCUACUGCAAGGGUUGCCUUGGAUGGAAGAAGUAUACCGAGGUACUUGCUUCCGGAGCAUGUUGGUUCAUGUCACCUGCGCAUAUCCUAUUCUGCACAUACUGAUCUUAAUAUCAAGUUUCAAUCUCACAGGAGCAGGGACUAUACAAAUCCAUAUCUUCCUGUGAAUCCUACUGCAAUUGAGGGACCUGUACAGCCUGCUGUAGGUCCUGAUGGAAAGAAGAAAGAACCAGAGAGUAAUGUACUUCUUGCAUCAGUAGAGAAUAUGCAGUAUGCUGUAACAGUUGAUGUUCUUCAUACGGUAUUUUCUGCAUUUGGUAAUGUCCAAAAGAUUGCUAUAUUUGAGAAAAAUGGUGGAACACAAGCUCUAAUUCAGUACCCUGAUGUUGCAACUGCAGCAGUAGCCAAAGAAACUUUGGAAGGACAUUGCAUUUAUGAUGGUGGCUAUUGUAAGCUUCAUCUAUCAUACUCUCGUCAUACUGAUCUCAAUGUAAAGGUAUAAAAAUGUGCUUUUGAGUUAAUCUUCAUGAGAAUAAAAUGAGAAGAAAAAUAAAAGAUGCUGUGUAAGAGGAAAAAGUGCAUCCGUUCCUGGUCAAAAAAGAUUGGUCCUUUAAAACGUAUGCUUCUUGACACUUGAUUGCCCCCUUCUUGUUGGAUAUAAUUGUCAUCCCAUUUAUUAAAAAAUCUAUAGGAGAAUAUAAUUAAUUGCUCGCUGUCUCUUUUUUCCCCCUUUUUUCUUUUCUUUUACAGGCCUACAGUGAUAAGAGCAGAGAUUACACCAUCCCGGACGCAAGUUUGCUUGCAGCAGGACAGGUUUCUGGCAUCCCUACUACUCCAUCUGUGUGGCAGAAUCCUCAGGCUGCUCCUAUGUACCCCAUUAACAACUAUGCCGCUGCAGCUGCUGUCCCCACGCAAGUUCCUGCUGGGCAAGUGCCUGCUUGGGAUCCAGCUGUGCAGGCAGGAGCCCCAGCUUAUGCAUCAGUUCCUGGCACAUUUCCUGGUCAAACAUAUCAAGCAGCUCCAGUACCCUCAUAUGUCACUACAGCAAUGCCCGCUGGAUCCUCUCCUCUUUCGCAAGGCAGCCCAAUUGCUCCUGGUGUGGUUUCCAUGCAAUGACUCAACCAGGGUUUCAACCAAAUGUGCGACCUGGUGGGGCUCCACCUCCAAGCUACCAUCCUUAUUAUGGCUGAUGAUUUGUAUGUUCCUCUUUGAACAGUGUUUGCCUUUCAAGCAUUUGUGUCUGGUAAAGAUUAUAAAUCUUUUAUGGUAAUUGCAAAAAGAAAAAAAAAAUCAUAUUUGCUUUUAUUUUUGUUAUGUUUUUCUCGGCUGCAUGAGAUUGAUAUGGUAGAUGGAAUCUAAUUGUAAUCUUUUUCAUUCUGUUCAUAUCUUCUUCAAUGAUAUUAAACCUG